RNAcentral lists this ribosomal RNA (542 nucleotides) under uncultured bacterium. Its description in RNAcentral is "partial 16S ribosomal RNA". It matches the Rfam family "Bacterial small subunit ribosomal RNA", at positions 355 to 883 of the family's 1533-position model. The record is from RNAcentral.
UGGGGAAUAUUGCACAAUGGGCGCAAGCCUGAUGCAGCCAUGCCGCGUGUGUGAAGAAGGCCUUCGGGUUGUAAAGCGCUUUCAGCGAGGAGGAAGGUGGUGAACUUAAUACGUUCAUCAAUUGACGUUACUCGCAGAAGAAGCACCGGCUAACUCCGUGCCAGCAGCCGCGGUAAUACGGAGGGCGCAAGCGUUAAUCGGAAUACUGGGCGUAAAGCGCACGCAGGCGGUUUGUUAAGUCAGAUGUGAAAUCCCCGGGCUCAACCUGGGAACUGCAUUUGAAACUGGCAAGCUAGAGUCUCGUAGAGGGGGGUAGAAUUCCAGGUGUAGCGGUGAAAUGCGUAGAGAUCUGGAGGAAUACCGGUGGCGAAAGGCGGCCCCCCUGGACGAAGACUGACGCUCAGGUGCGAAAAGCGUGGGGAGCAAAACAGGAUUAGAUACCCUGGUAGUCCACGCUGUAAAACGAUGUCGAUUUUGGAGGUUGUGCCCCUUGAGGCGUGGCUUCCGGAGCUAACGCGUUAAAUCGACCGCCUGGGGAGUAC